UCAUUACCGGAAGGGGAUGUGGACUGCUAAGAAGAGAGUAUGCCGGAAUGAGUAGCGAGAGCAAGGUGAGAAUCCUUGCGGCCGAAUAUCCAAGGUUUCCGGAGUAAAGCUGAUCUGCUCUGGGUAAGUCGGGGCCUAAGGAGAGGCAGAGAUGCGUAUCCGAUGGACAGCAGGUUUAAGAUUCCUGCACCCCUUGUUAUCAGAACUGCGGGGACACGGGAAGGGAAGCAGAGCCGGGAAUGGAAAGCCCGGUGCAAGCGAAGUAGUCGCAGGGUUGGAAAAUCCGCCCUGCAUGAGACGAAGGCGUGAUGCGGAGCGAAAUGAAGUAGUGAAGCUGCGGCCCCUUCCUGUCGAGAAAAGCCGCUAUCGUGUAGCAAGGGCCCGUACCGUAAACCGACACAGGUGGAUGAGGAGAGGAUCCUAAGGCCGGCGGGAGAAGUGUUGUUAAGGAACUCGGCAAAAUGACUCCGUAACUUCGGGAGAAGGAGUGCUGCGCAAGCAGCCGCAGAGAAAUGGCCCAAGCAACUGUUUAGCAAAAACACAGGUCUAUGCGAAACCGAAAGGUGAGGUAUAUGGGCUGACGCCUGCCCGGUGCUGGAAGGUUAAGGGGAGAGCUUAGCGCGAGCGAAGGUUUGAACUUAAGCCCCAGUAAACGGCGGCCGUAACAAUAACGGUCCUAAGGUAGCGAAAUUCCUUGUCGGGUAAGUUCCGACCCGCACGAAAGGCGUAAUGAUUUGGGCACUGUCUCAACAACACACCCGGUGAAAUUGAAAUACCAGUGAAGAUGCUGGUUACCCGCGCCAGGACGGAAAGACCCCAUGGAGCUUUACUCCAGCCUGAUACUGGGAUUCGGUAUUGCAUGUACAGGAUAGGUGGGAGGCUAAGAACUCAUGGCGCCAGCCGUGAGGGAGCCGAUGUAGGGAUACCACCCCUGCAGUACUGGGUUUCUAACCUGCGCCCGUGACCCGGGCGGGGGACAAUGUCAGGCGGGGAGUUUGACUGGGGCGGUCGCCUCCGAAAGGGUAUCGGAGGCGCUCAAAGGUCUCCUCAGGAUGGUUGGAAACCAUCCAGAGAGUGCAAAGGCAGAAGGAGGCUUGACUGCGACACCGACGGGUGGAGCAGGUACGAAAGUAGGACUUAGUGAUCCGGUGGCAUAAAGUGGGAUUGCCAUCGCUCAACGGAUAAAAGCUACCCUGGGAUAACAGGCUUAUCACUCCCAAGAGUUCACAUCGACGGAGUGGUUUGGCACCUCGAUGUCGGCUCAUCGCAUCCUGGAGCUGGAGCAGGUUCCAAGGGUUGGGCUGUUCGCCCAUUAAAGCGGUACGCGAGCUGGGUUCAGAACGUCGUGAGACAGUUCGGUCCCUAUCCGGCGCGGGCGCAGGAUAUCUGAGAGGAGCUGUCCUUAGUACGAGAGGACCGGGAUGGACCGUCCGCUGGUGGACCGGUUGUCAUGCCAAUGGCACGGCCGGGUAGCCAAGACGGGAAGGGAUAAACGCUGAAGGCAUCUAAGCGUGAAGCCCCCCUCAAGAUGAGAUAUCCAUACUCGAAAGAGUGAGAGACCCCUUAGAGACGAUGAGGUAGAUAGGGCAGAGAUGGAAGCACAGCGAUGUGUGGAGUUGACUGUUACUAAUCGGUCGAAAGCUUG
Molecule: ribosomal RNA, 1645 nt
Filed under: metagenome
Description: bacterial LSU rRNA
Rfam family: Bacterial large subunit ribosomal RNA
Source: RNAcentral